This 254-nucleotide ribosomal RNA is filed under the name uncultured bacterium. Its description in RNAcentral is "partial 16S ribosomal RNA". It matches the Rfam family "Bacterial small subunit ribosomal RNA", at positions 524 to 776 of the family's 1533-position model. The record is from RNAcentral.
UACGUAGGGGUCUAGCGUUGUCCGGAAUUAUUGGGCGUAAAGAGCUCGUAGGCGGUUCGGCAAGUCGGAUGUGAAAUCUCCACGCUUAACGUAGAGGGGCCAUUCGAAACUGCCGUGACUCGAGUCCGGUAGGGGAGUGCGGAAUUCCCGGUGUAGCGGUGAAAUGCGCAGAUAUCGGGAGGAACACCAGUGGCGAAGGCGGCACUCUGGGCCGGAACUGACGCUGAGGAGCGAAAGCGUGGGGAGCGAACAGG